GUGGAACCGGAAGCUGCCACCCGCCGGCCGGCGUCCAGGCCUCGGGGCCCGGAUGGGCGCACUGCCUCCAGGACCCAGGACGGGGUCCAGACCCUGGGCACUGGGGUCCGAGCCCAGGCCCGCCCCGGGAGGCAGUGUUUACUCCAGGUCGCGAGCUCUAGGGACAAGCACGUCGCAGUUCUCCCGUCUUUUCGCCAAGAGGUGCUCGAAGGAGGAAAUGUGGACUUCUGCGCCCGCCCAGAGUGGGGCGCCCACGUGGGACCGGACCGCGGGGCGUUUUGGUCUCCUGCGUCAUUACGCCCCCACGCACCACCCUGAACCUCGGGGAGACUGCGGAAGCGGAUAAAGGUGGGGCACGAAGACCACGGCACCCCCCCCCCCUUCCCGCUUUUUCGAGAGCGGUGGCACUGUGCCUGGGGCCCGAGCCUUCUCAGUCUCCACGGGAGACCCAUCCACCGCGGGUUCGAGGCCCGCAGCCGUCGCAGGCUCACUUACAAAAGAGAGCUCCAAGGAGAAGCGUUCCUGUUGAAGGAGGUCUGAAAGCCACUGUUUGCUGAAACUGUCUUUAUGACACAGGAAACAAGAUAACGAAGGAGCUUGCUUAUCUCAGAGCCGAUGUUCUGCUCAAGAAACAUCACCAAAAGAAAAAGAAAAAAGGAAGAAAGAAAAUGAAGAGAGGAGGCCGAAACCCAGGACCAACCUUCUUUCACAGGGUUAGAGAAACAAUCCCCAAAUGAUCAAAACAACACAGAAUUCACCUUCUUUUCAAAAAGAAGACUCAUGCUCUGAGAGAAGACCCCCAGUGGAGACAGACUCACCUCGGGCUCUGGCUCCAAUUAUUGAACUUCCCACACCACCGGUGCUUGUGUGUUCUUGGCGACGGCCAAGUUGAUCCGGCUGGGCCACAGGAAGCUAUUGGGAGGUCUUGAGGAAGGGAGUGACAUCGCUUGAUUUACAUUUUUGAGAGCUCACUCUACUGCAGUGUGGAGAAGAUUGUUGGAAGGCAAGAGAAACCAGAAGAUCGACUGGGACACUGGAGAAACCCAAGCAAAAGGUGAAGAUGCUGGUAACUGCGGAGGCAGAAGGAAGUUACCAGAUUCAGUGUGGUUUGAAGCAGGAGGAACCCCAUUCUUCAACCGUAACAAUGAAACACACCUCAUUCCGCUCAUAGUUCCCCAAGGCUCUGGUCCUCUGGAACAUAAUUUGAGACACACAGCUCUAUGGAGCACAGACAUUGAUUCACCAGCAAACAUUUGUGUGGAGCCUCCCGGAGCCAGGCGCUGUGCUGGUGAUGGGAAUAUAAAGGUAAAGAAGACAGGCAAGGCUCUUGUUUUUCAUGGCGCUUCCUUUCUGGUGUGGGGAGACAGACAAUCAACCAGUUAGCAAGUCCACAGACAGACCCAAGGUAUCGUAUGGUCGUAAAUACUGCAAAGAAUAUAAAACAGGGUGAUGUGUUGGAAAACUUCACUGACCGGAUGUUAAAUGUCCUAUUCAGAAGCCGAUUCCGAAUUAGCUAUAAAUCGUCUAAAAACAAUGAAAUAUGACAUUCACCAAAAAGAAGUUCAUUUUCUACUACCUUUGCUUUUCCUGCCUCUGACUGUCAUAUUGGUUGGUUCUACUCCAUUAUUUACUUUUAAUAAGCUUGGGAGCUUGGGGGAUAUAAAUCUGGUAAUCGCUCAGGUAAUUCACACCUUAUCUUUAUGUUCAAAAAAGAAGAUACCUAUAACUUUUGCAAAAGAAAUUCAUCUAGAUUGGUGCUUGUUGCAAAUUGAACCCCGGGUUUUCAACGAAUGAAGAACAAAUCUGAAAAAACAGAGAAGCAAAACUAUGGAUAUGUCAGACAGCUUUGCCUAACGCCUGUCAUUGUCUUCUCGAGCCCAGUCAAGAUCGGGAGCCAUGUGGGUUAAUAUUUCCACCGACUUCUCCUCUGUCGUAUGUUUGCCAAGUAUCACCUCUACUCGGGACACAACACUGAUUUGCAGAGCGUGCAGUUGUGUGAACCCAGGAGGAAGGCAGUGUGAUUCACACAACUUCCCUUCUCUCGACAGGAAAUACAGCAAAGCAUGUCCUGUGUUCCCAUAAAGUUCACCGUCCUAUACGUCCUAUACCUAAAUCGAUUACUGACUAGAAGAAAAGUCAAUGUAUGACAAGAGAUAUUUUCUUUUCACUGAGUAAAAGUUCCAAUGAGUGAAGUGAGUAAUGUUGUUAUAAUCGUCCACAUAAAAGGAGAUAAAGCAGUUGGAGAGAGAGAAAUGCAAACUGUUCCAAGGUCUGAUCUUGACAGUAAAGACUUAAUCAUUUUCAAGCCUUCUUGAUUUUCCUGCCUCUUGUCUACACACUUCUGCCAAUGUUUCAUCUUUAAGAUCUAUUCACAGCCUUCAAAACAGCCUGGGGCAAAUAGCAAGGACGGCCAGAGAAUGUGGUUUUCAGUUACUCUACUAUUUGGGUGACUCCUUAGCUGGGAUAAUGCGAUUUUGAAUGGAUUUUAAAUGGUAAUGGUGAUAGGGGAUGGUCAAUAUUUAUUUAUAAGCUUUCUUAGUUGGGAUGCUAUUUCAAUUUUUACAUAUCUCUUAAAUUUUAGAGAAAUACAUUUCCCAACUGAGUUUUUUAGGUUUAGAAAAUUGACCAUUAUACAAACAUCCUUCACUGAAAUUCAUUGCCAGCAUUUAUAACUAAUACUAAUGACGAAACUGAUAUUAACUGUGCUGAGAGCUUACCAUAUAUUACCUCAUCUAAUUCUCAUGACAAGUGAUGGAGGAAACUAAGGGUAAGGGAAGUAGAGUAGCCAGCGACUCUUUUUUUUGUAUUAUUUUUUUAAUGUUUAUUUAUUUUUGAGAGAGGGAGAGACAGAGUGUGAGCAGGCAAGGGGCAGAGAGAGAGGGAGACACAGAAUCGGAAGCAGGCUCCAGGCUCCAAGCUGUCAGCACAGAGCCCGAUGCGGGGCUCGAACUCACGAACCAUGAGAUCAUGACCUGAGCCGAAGUCGGAAGCUCAACUGACUGAGCCACCCGGGCACCCCAAGUAACCAGCGACUCUUGUUGUAUGUCCUGUGUUGGCAAUGAGGUCAGGUUUCAGGGGGUGCAUUGGAGAGCGUUUAAUUUAUCAUAAUCUUGAUCAGAACUGCUUCCUCUAAGCCACCCAGAAUAAACAUUUUAUCUGAGUAAGGGCAGUGUGGUUGCUAAGGAAAGGCAGAUUGCAAUCCUGAAGGCUGUCCCAGGAAGAUGUUCUGGAGCUGUCGCUCUAUAUCCACGUGACUGUUACCAUCAAAUUCCCGUUUCUUCAAUGCUCAUUGUGUUUGGAACACUAGAUUCAGACACUUGCCCAGUGAAGGGGACGCAGAAGACAUGGGGGGCAUCCAAAGCAGCAUGGCAGCAUGGAAUGGUAGGACACGACCAACCCUCGUGGACAGAUACACCUAUCUUCUAGGCUCGGGUCUUACAAAUUAUUUCUUUGACCUUAAACAAAUUCUCUAGUUUCUUUGGGCCUAAGUUUAUUGGAUCUAAAACAAAAGGUUUGAUGUAGUGAUUGCUUAAGAUCCUUGUAGCUGUAAAUUAUGAUGACUCCAUAGGUCUUAUCUUCCCAGAACUUACAAUCCAGUGUGACAAUCAAAUAAACUGAAGUAUUUGGAAAUGUUUCUAAACUUUA
Long non-coding RNA from Prionailurus viverrinus (fishing cat), 3645 nucleotides. RefSeq lists it as uncharacterized. The record is from RefSeq and is a predicted model, not a curated record. NCBI's taxonomy places the organism in Eukaryota, Metazoa, Chordata, Mammalia, Carnivora, Felidae. The transcript has 6 exons.